CUAGGCCUGUCGAUGAUGGAAUUUGUGGAUCAAGCAUCAGAGAAGGUUGCUGAAUCAACUGAUUAAUGAAACUGUCAAUUGCUGCAAGAACAAAAUGUUGUCAGAAGCUAGAUGAAGUUAAAGGCAGGAAACACCACAGGUAUCACUUUAUGUCUGCACAAAGAUACACUCAUAAUACGUGUGAUAUAAAAAGCAAAUUCAUGUAAAUCUGCAAUCAUAACCAUAAAGCUGAAUGUGUCUUCCUUUCAUUUAAAAGAGCAUAUGAAAGUUGUAAUACUGAACUAGUUGCAUCAGAUGAACUCUGCCUAAAAUCAUGAAACAUGUGAUUGAUAGGUUUAGUGCAGAAUUAGCAAACUUUAGAGCAGAAUCUCUAGAAUGAACAAUGAUACUUUAUAAUUACUCAAGAAUAAACAUGUCAAAUAUUUUCUAAAAGAGGUUUAUUUCCUGCCAUGUACCUGGUGAUCCAGCUGAAUUUUUUUCCAAAUUAAAUGUCAGUGUUUCUGCCAAUAUGUUAUUUAAGUAAACUUUGCUGCAAUAACUCUCAAGAUCCUGUCCCUUUUGCAUGAAUGCUACCUCAGCAUCUUGAAGGAGCAUGUCAUACUUUUUACAUAUUUCUUCUAUCUCUUUAUCACACUCAGACUUCAGCCGUAAUAUCUGCUCAAUUGGGAAAGAGAUGCAAUAAUGCUCACAUCAUUUAGUUGACUAAACAUGACAUCAAAAUUUAAAAAGAGAAACUAAAUUCAUCUUGCACAUACCGUAUCUUCAUGUAGCUUCAAAGUUUGCUCCCUAAACUUUUGUAUUCUCUCCAGCUCAAUGCGAAGUGGCUUUGAGCAAGCAGGCUGAGGUGUCACACUCACAGGUCUCACAAUGUUGACUUGACAAGGAUAAUCGUUUGGAGAUCUUAAGAGAGUAGUUGUGCUCCUUUGGUUCUCAAUGCACAUUUGACUUUCACCCACAGGUGUACUUGCAGAUGGCUGUUGCGGCACAAGUGUAACUGAAUGCAUAACAGGAGGACCAGAUGAUUCAUCCAGUGGGACCUCUAAUAAUGGUUGUCUUGGAACUGGAGCCUCUUGACACAAAGCAUGCUGAUUGCUGCUGAGAAGAUGUUGCAUCCCAGAUGCAGGUAUAGUAGAUAUACUGCUCUCAGAGGAAGAUGACCUUAUAUGAAGUGGUAAGGAGACAGCUGUCUGCAAUUUAAGAUUAGAACAGAACAAUUAGCAAUUAAAGGCACCAUUUAUCAAUGAAUUUAUCAAAAAAUACAUCUGCUGGAACUUUAAACUUUUACAUGACCACACCUAAUUGAGUAAAGUUUCUAGAAGUUCUGUACAGCCCUAAUUAAGAUAAACAGUCUUUCUCUCUCCAUAUGCAUGUUGGACAAAGGGGGGUAUUUAUCAAUGAAUUUAUUCAAAAACUAUAAUUGAUGGCCGUAACUUCUUUUUUUUUUUUUUUACAUACAGGAGAUUGGAUAAAAAUAUACACAAAAAUCAAUCUAGUCAUCUGACCUUUUCUUACCUCUUGGCAUAGCAAUGAAUAUGAUUCAACAGUGUUAAUAUCUGCCUCCACCAAGGAUUGGCCAGUCCCAGUAAACUCCAAAGCAUUCAAGUCUCCAGUGAGAUGAGUAACUGCACUAUCGUGCUGACUGAUCCUUGAAAGAGUUGCUCUUUCUAAGGACACUGCAUCUGUUUCGUCACUUUCUUCAUCGGGCUGGGUAGCAUUGGUAGUUUUCACAAGGUCAUUGCCUGUAACCAUUGCAUUACAUUGGGCUUGGGGAACUUCAGAAGGCUCUGUUACAAAAUCAGUAGCCGGCAGUCUAACAGGACUUCGGUGGUGUCGAGAAUCUGAUAUAAGGGCAUGAUCUUUUGGUUGAUCACUGGGACUACCAAAAACAGUUGCUCUUUCUAAGGUCACUGCAUCUGUUUCAUCACUAUCUUCAUUGGGCUGGGUAGCAUUGGUUGUAGUCACAAGGUCAUUGCCUGUAACUAUUUCAUUACAUUGGGCUUGGGGAACUUCAGAAGGCUCUGCAAUAAAAUCAGUGGUCGGCAGUCUAACAGGACUUUGGUGGUGUCGAGAAUCUAAUAUAAGGGCAUGAUCUUUUGGUUGAUCACAGGGACUAC
RNAcentral lists this long non-coding RNA (2114 nucleotides) under Theobroma cacao (cacao). RNAcentral describes it as "long non-coding RNA (TCAC_LNC002842)". Lineage: Eukaryota; Viridiplantae; Streptophyta; Magnoliopsida; Malvales; Malvaceae. The record is from RNAcentral.